CCUACGGGCGGCAGCAGUGAGGAAUAUUGGUCAAUGGACGAGAGCCUGAACCAGCCAAGUCGCGUGAAGGAUGACUGCUCUAUGGUUUGUAAACUUCUUUUAUAUGGGAAUAAAAUGUUCAACGUGUGGGUUUUUGUAUGUACCAUAUGAAUAAGGAUCGGCUAACUCCGUGCCAGCAGCCGCGGUAAUACGGAGGAUGCGAGCGUUAUCCGGAUUUAUUGGGUUUAAAGGGAGCGUAGGUGGUUUGUUAAGUCAGCUGUGAAAGUUUGCGGCUCAACCAUAAAAUUGCAGUUGAAACUGGCUGACUUGAGUAUAUUAGAGGUAGGCGGAAUGCGUGGUGUAGCGGUGAAAUGCUUAGAUAUCACGAAGAACUCCGAUUGCGAAGGCAGUUUACUAAACUGCAACUGACACUGAGGCACGAAAGUGUGGGGAUCAAACAGGAUUAGAUACCCCUGUAGUC
RNAcentral lists this ribosomal RNA (460 nucleotides) under uncultured bacterium. RNAcentral describes it as "partial 16S ribosomal RNA". It matches the Rfam family "Bacterial small subunit ribosomal RNA", at positions 338 to 795 of the family's 1533-position model. The record is from RNAcentral.